CAGGGGACUUUCCUUUAGAACAGCCGCCCCCUAUCCCCCUCUGUCUCUAUAAAAGCAGCUCCCCUCCUUUGUUUUCUGGAUUUGCCUAUGCUUUGCCAUAGCGUGCAGAUCGUGUGUUGCAUUUCUUUUGAGGAUUCCUGAAUAAACUUAUUUUGAGAUAAAAUAAUAGGCAAAUUUGCUUUUAAGUUGACGCAGCUCUGGCAGAUUGAUUUUGAGUUAAAGCUAUUUGAAAAACAGCAAGAUGCCAAAUUGUGCUCUGACCUUCGUUUUUCUUCCUGAAAGUGGGAGAUAAAAUUCACAUGGGAAAGACGCCCUCGGUGUACCAGGAGAAAGAAACACUCUUACCACCAGAGACAUGCGUCAAGCCCGAGAGAAAUCUGUACAAACAGACCUUGUUAAAACAACUCUUCCUUUAAUCUCUCCAUAUAUUUUGGUUACUUUUCCACACUUACCACUCUCUGUUCAGCCUAGUAAAUCAGCACUUAGGCCUAAUCACUAAUUUGGGUCUUCAUUUUUCGUGUAAGAGCCGUCCUGUACGUGUAAAUAGCAUUUGUGUGCUUUUCUCCUGUCAACCUGUCUGGUGUCGAUCUUGUCUGGAGACCGUAGGAAGACGGAGGAAACCUUCACCUCCCCUCCAGUUUCUGGUCUGAGGAUGGCAGAGCCUUGGCUGAGACGCUGUUGGCUCCGGGGUCUGCAGCUGAGAGAUCUUGGGACCUGAGUAAUCCUGCAGAAGCCCCCCGGUGCAUAGUUGUAUAUUCUUAGUUCUGGAUCCUUCUAGCUGUGGCAUGUUGGACCCUGCGUCAGCAUGGCCUGACCAGCAGUGCCAUGUCCGCGCCCAGGAUUCGAACCAGCAAAACCCUGGGCCUCAGAAGCGAAGCACGCGAACUUAACCGCUCGGCCACAGGGCCAGCCCCUCUGUUUUUCUUAACUAAUGGAUUUUGUAUUUCCAUACCUGUAUCAUGGCUAAAAUUUAAAAAUAAAAGCCAUAAGAUCUCUGUUGGCAUCUGUCUCUAUGUUUCUGUGUGUCUAUAUAUGUAUGUUAUAUGUAUGUAAUAUUUUUCUACCUCCAAGAAGUAUUACUAAAAACUAGCUUGUGAAAGAACUCUUUUUAAUUGGCUUUUUAAAAAAAGUGUUUACAUAAAUUAAGAUCAGUCAAACAAACUUGUUAUCUUGUUAUCUCUACUAAAUGUUUAAGCUUAUAAAACUAUGCAUUCAACCUAAGAACCAAACAGACGAUGAAAGUGAAUUGCUUGAUGUAUAUCAAGCAUGACAGUAAAGAAAAAGCAAAAAAAGGGAGCGCGUCAUACGUUGACUUUUUUCGGUUCUGUGCUUCUGUGAUUUUUGAUACUGGCCUGAUUUGUCAACGAGAAAAAUAACUUAAGAUGAUGCUAUUUAAUGACUCGUGAAAUUUUCAUGAGUAAUCUCAGCGUGAUUGUUAAAAAAAAGUAAGUUAAGUAAACUUAAGUGGGAUAAAAAUUUAUGAGUAAACUUUUCAAAACUGAUUAUAUUUUAUAAUAUGUCUGCUUAAAAAUAGUUUUAAAUGCUUUUUGGAUGCUGGGAGCCUUAAAGUUAUACUAAGUUAAGUUAAAUGAUGGCUAGUCAUUGGACAUCUAGGUCAUUCACAAAUAAGAUAAAAUACUAAAAUAGGAAUUAUUAAACAUAAGUUUAAGUUUAUUUCCUUGGCUUCUUAAGUUUUACAGAGAGACUAAAGAUAUUUGGGUUAGUUAGUAAACAUAUCCUUUGCCACAUUAAAAAACUGUACUGUAAGGAAGUGUGUGCUUCUAGAAAGCGGGAAAUAGUGUCUUCCUAAACGCGAGACUCUCCUGCAGAAGCUUGCGGUGUACUUGGCAUAAAUGUUAGUAUGUCUACAGUUUGCAAUUGCUUGCUUCCUAGUUUUCACUGGAAAUUAGGGUUAUGAAAUUAUAAUCAACGUAAGUAAGUUAAACUAUUAUGAAUAAUAAGGGUACGGAAAAAACUCUAUGCGAAGUAUGCAAGGAAAAUAAGAUGUGUUUUUGGUAGGAAGAAUAUGAGAUAUGAAGAAUGCAUUCUUGUGAAGGGAAAAGGAGAGUAAUUUUGUCCUAGUUUAAGGGUAUUUAAAGAUUGUUUCAAAAUAAGAAAGAGAAAACAAGACAACAACCUAAGUGGGUACAGAAAGUUGGAGAGGGAGGAGAGAGAGAAAGUCUUAUCUUAUGUGGUCAAACUGACAAAACUUAAAUGGAUUUAUUAUAAGAGUUUGAAAAAUGAGCUUUAAUAUCCAUAAUGUGCUUGUGCAAAACUAGAAUUUGAUUUUCUUUCUCUGAUAAAAGGACAAAAUUUUCUUGAAUUAUUGUAAAAGUUUUCUUUACCUACUAAAUAAUUCACAUGGAAAACAAAAGACUCUGUGUUUCAUCAAAAUGCUGUCUCUAUCAGGUUUUUAAACAGGAAAACUGAGUCUUCUCAAUAUUAAAAGAGCUAAGGGUUUUUUUUCCCCCAACUAUGUAAUUUACUGCAUUUGCCUUUAAAAUCCUUGAUUGUCCCUUUGUGAAAUAGGUAAUAAGUAUGGUUUCAUAGUAAUCUGUGAUCCUAUUUACUCAAGAGUUCAAACCAUUGACAUUUUUUGACAAACUUCCCCAAAUCAAAUUCUGCGUUUCCCCUGCCCUCCCCGUGCCUCCUCUCCGCCUGCGGCGGACGCUCAGAAUCGGAGACGGGGACGCUGCCUCAGGCGCAUCUGCCUGUCACUCAGAGCCACCCUGCUUCCGCUGUGAGUGAGGCUGUCAAGUUUCUUGUCAGGGGGAGUGACGGGCAGGGUUCUGGGAGGGCCCGAGAUGGCCGCUCAGGGGCACACGGCCUGGAGCGAGGGGGCGCCUGUGAAUGUGACAGACGGCGACCGUGAUGUUACAUCAUGCUUCAGGAGGGAUCUUGUAGCCAUGAUGACCCGCAUGACUUCAUCAAAAGGGAGACUGGUCAAUGCUCGCAGUGUCUGUGCCACAGUGUCUCCGUCAGUUUCCUCAAGGUGCAUUGGCUGCUGUCAGGCAACAAUGGUACCACGUUCUCAGUCGUAAUUCCAGUCAUUCAGUAAAAUGGUAACUGGACCAGGAUCCCAC
Molecule: long non-coding RNA, 3083 nt
Organism: Equus caballus (horse)
Lineage: Eukaryota; Metazoa; Chordata; Mammalia; Perissodactyla; Equidae
Source: Ensembl